UCUCCGUAGGUGAACCUGCGGAGGGAUCAUUACACAAAUAUGAAGGCGGGCUGGAACCUCUCGGGGUUACAGCCUUGCUGAAUUAUUCACCCUUGUCUUUUGCGUACUUCUUGUUUCCUUGGUGGGUUCGCCCACCACUAGGACAAACAUAAACCUUUUGUAAUUGCAAUCAGCGUCAGUAACAAAUUAAUAAUUACAACUUUCAACAACGGAUCUCUUGGUUCUGGCAUCGAUGAAGAACGCAGCGAAAUGCGAUAAGUAGUGUGAAUUGCAGAAUUCAGUGAAUCAUCGAAUCUUUGAACGCACAUUGCGCCCUUUGGUAUUCCAAAGGGCAUGCCUGUUCGAGCGUCAUUUGUACCCUCAAGCUUUGCUUGGUGUUGGGCGUCUUGUCUCUAGCUUUGCUGGAGACUCGCCUUAAAGUAAUUGGCAGCCGGCCUACUGGUUUCGGAGCGCAGCACAAGUCGCACUCUCUAUCAGCAAAGGUCUAGCAUCCAUUAAGCCUUUUUUUCAACUUUUGACCUCGGAUCAGGUAGGGAUACCCGCUGAACUUAAGCAUAUCAAUAA
This 564-nucleotide ribosomal RNA is filed under the name Alternaria sp. Its description in RNAcentral is "eukaryotic LSU rRNA". The stretch from base 198 to 351 matches the Rfam family "5.8S ribosomal RNA". Lineage: Eukaryota; Fungi; Ascomycota; Dothideomycetes; Pleosporales; Pleosporaceae. The record is from RNAcentral.